RNAcentral lists this ribosomal RNA (402 nucleotides) under bacterium. RNAcentral describes it as "partial 16S ribosomal RNA". It matches the Rfam family "Bacterial small subunit ribosomal RNA", at positions 355 to 776 of the family's 1533-position model. The record is from RNAcentral.
UGGGGAAUUUUGCACAAUGGGGGAAACCCUGAUGCAGCGACGCCGCGUGAUUUAGAAGGCCUUCGGGUUGUAAAAAUCUUUUCUAUGGGAAGAAAAUGACAGUACCAUAGGAAUAAGGACCGGCUAAUUACGUGCCAGCAGCCGCGGUAAUACGUAAGGUCCGAGCGUUGUCCGGAAUCAUUGGGCGUAAAGGGUACGUAGGCGGUUAAGCAAGUUAGAAGUGAAAUCCUAUAGCUCAACUAUAGUAAGCUUUUAAAACUGCUCAUCUUGAGGUAUGGAAGGGAAAGUGGAAUUCCUAUUGUAGCGGUGAAAUGCGCAGAUAUUAGGAGGAAUCCCGGUGGCGAAGGCGACUUUCUUGCCAUAACCUGACGCUGAGGUACGAAAGCGUGGGUAGCAAACAGG